Molecule: long non-coding RNA, 105 nt
Organism: Lynx canadensis (Canada lynx)
Lineage: Eukaryota; Metazoa; Chordata; Mammalia; Carnivora; Felidae
Exons: 3
Source: RefSeq, a predicted model, not a curated record
AUCAAUUUUGUGCAAAUAAACCAUGUUUCUUUUAAAAAGACUUGUGCACUUGCCCAGGCUCAAGGAUAUUAAAAUCCAGCACGGAGAGAGCCCACGUCUGACCUC